Molecule: long non-coding RNA, 263 nt
Filed under: Medicago truncatula (barrel medic)
Lineage: Eukaryota; Viridiplantae; Streptophyta; Magnoliopsida; Fabales; Fabaceae
Description: long non-coding RNA (MTRU_LNC006074)
Source: RNAcentral
UAUAGAAUUUUUUGAAUAUCAUAUUCACCAUUUGUGGAUCUUGACUCUUGCCUAUCGAGUAAUACAUUAUACUGUAUACUAAUACUGAUUGAAUAAUAACAAACAACCGUGUCUAUAAGAAAAAACAGAGAUAUAAAAAGUAAUGAAAACAAAUUUGUAUGACCUAAAUCUAUGAUCAAAUAGUAACCUAUGUUUCAUGAUACUUCUCGUUGAAAUCUCUCACUUCAAGUUCAACUGCUGUGUCAAAGAAAAAAUUAAUUGAU